GAUGAACGCUGGCGGCGUGCCUAACACAUGCAAGUCGAGCGAACGGACGAGAAGCUUGUUUUUCUGUUGUUUGCGGCGGACGUGUGAGAAACACGUGGAUAACCUACUUCUAAGACUGGGAUAACUGCGGGAAACCGGAGCUAAUACCGGAUAAUAUUUUGAUCCUCAUGGUUCUAGAAUGAAAGACGGUCUUGCUGUCACUUAUAGAUUGUUCCCCGCUGCAUUGGCUAGUUGGUAAGGUAACGGCUUACCAAGGGGACGAUGGAUAGCCGACCUGGGCGGGGGAUCGGCCACACGGGAACGGAGACGCGGUCAAGGGUACUGAGAGAGGGAGCAGUAGGGAAUGGGACGCAAUGGGCGAGAGCAUGACGGAGCAAGGCCGAGUGAGUGAUGGAGGUGUUCGGAUCGUAAAGCUCUGUUACUAGGGAAGAACACAUGUGUGAGUAGAUGUAGACAUCGUGACGGUACCUAAAUAGAAAGCAACGGCUAACUACGUG
This 497-nucleotide ribosomal RNA is filed under the name uncultured bacterium. RNAcentral's name for it is "partial 16S ribosomal RNA". It matches the Rfam family "Bacterial small subunit ribosomal RNA", at positions 28 to 507 of the family's 1533-position model. The record is from RNAcentral.